CAGUCGCCGCGGUAAUACGAAGGGUGCGAGCGUUACCCGGAUUUACUGGGCGUAAAGGGCGUGUAGGCGGCCUGGGGCGUCCCAUGUGAAAGGCCACGGCUCAACCGUGGAGGAGCGUGGGAUACGCUCAGGCUAGAGGGUGGGAGAGGGUGGUGGAAUUCCCGGAGUAGCGGUGAAAUGCGCAGAUACCGGGAGGAACGCCGAUGGCGAAGGCAGCCACCUGGUCCACUUCUGACGCUGAGGCGCGAAAGCGUGGGGAGCAAACCGGAUUAGAUACCCGUGUAGUCCCUGUCUCUUAUAC
This 301-nucleotide ribosomal RNA is filed under the name uncultured bacterium. RNAcentral describes it as "partial 16S ribosomal RNA". It matches the Rfam family "Bacterial small subunit ribosomal RNA", at positions 509 to 807 of the family's 1533-position model. The record is from RNAcentral.